Molecule: long non-coding RNA, 323 nt
Organism: Panicum virgatum (switchgrass)
Lineage: Eukaryota; Viridiplantae; Streptophyta; Magnoliopsida; Poales; Poaceae
Exons: 2
Source: RefSeq, a predicted model, not a curated record
AGUUGUACUGUCAAAGUGAUACAAUGUACACAUCUCAUUACUUUCGCUAUUAACAUAUAGGAUAUUUUCAAAGUGAUUUGAGCGGCUUUUACAUGAAACUGGAAAGAGCAUCUACCUGGCCGUGGACAGGCUCGUGGACAUUCCAAAAUACAUAGCUAUAAGAAACGUCUCAGAAUUCAGAGGCUCAGGAUUGCUCUCCUCGUCUGAAUGGUGCACUAAUAAUGUAUAAGGAUAAGGAUGCAUUCCGAAAAUUGGACACCAUUGAAAAAUGUGCUGGCUUGUAAAAAUUCGACAAUAUAUACAGGCCAAUGAAAGCAAUUGCA